Molecule: ribosomal RNA, 158 nt
Filed under: Phaeophyscia orbicularis
Lineage: Eukaryota; Fungi; Ascomycota; Lecanoromycetes; Caliciales; Physciaceae
Description: 5.8S ribosomal RNA
Rfam family: 5.8S ribosomal RNA
About the family: 5.8S ribosomal RNA (5.8S rRNA) is a component of the large subunit of the eukaryotic ribosome. It is transcribed by RNA polymerase I as part of the 45S precursor that also contains 18S and 28S rRNA.
Source: RNAcentral
AAACUUCAACAACGGAUCUCUUGGUUCCCGCAUCGAUGAAGAACGCAGCGAAAUGCGAAAAUUAAUGUGAAUUGCAGAAUUCCGUGAAUCAUCGAGUCUUUGAACGCACAUUGCGCCCCUUUGGUAUUCCGAAGGGCAUGCCUGUUCGAGCGUCAUUG